This 278-nucleotide unclassified non-coding RNA is filed under the name Hevea brasiliensis (rubber tree). The record is from RNAcentral. Lineage: Eukaryota; Viridiplantae; Streptophyta; Magnoliopsida; Malpighiales; Euphorbiaceae.
AAGUCAUUCCCUGCAUACUUUGAGUACAAAACAGUGUUCCCUGGGGAGGCGGAUACAGGUUUCCGCUUGCCUUCCUCAUCAAGAGGUCCGGGUCCAACUGCUAUUACUGUGCCAAUGGAAGGUUUCUCUUUGGCUGCCUCUGUCAGCAGCAAGCCUCCUGCAGUCUUCUCCUCAGCUUCAGCUACCUUUAUAAAUACUCUAUCAUUCAAAGGCUUGAGAUCCUUGAUAUCAUCUGUCUCCAGUAUACCAACAAUAUCAUCCUCCUUCAAUAUAAGAUG